GAUGAACGCUGGCGGCGUGCCUAAUACAUGCAAGUCGAGCGAACAGACGAGGAGCUUGCUCCUUUGACGUUAGCGGCGGACGGGUGAGUAACACGUAGGUAACCUACCUAUAAGACUGGGAUAACUUCGGGAAACCGGAGCUAAUACCGGAUAAUAUUUUGAACCGCAUGGUUCGAUAGUGAAAGAUGGUUUUGCUAUCACUUAUAGAUGGACCCGCGCCGUAUUAGCUAGUUGGUAAGGUAACGGCUUACCAAGGCAACGAUACGUAGCCGACCUGAGAGGGUGAUCGGCCACACUGGAACUGAGACACGGUCCAGACUCCUACGGGAGGCAGCAGUAGGGAAUCUUCCGCAAUGGGCGAAAGCCUGACGGAGCAACGCCGCGUGAGUGAUGAAGGUCUUCGGAUCGUAAAACUCUGUUAUUAGGGAAGAACAAACGUGUAAGUAACUAUGCACGUCUUGACGGUACCUAAUCAGAAAGCCACGGCUAACUACGUG
RNAcentral lists this ribosomal RNA (497 nucleotides) under uncultured bacterium. RNAcentral's name for it is "partial 16S ribosomal RNA". It matches the Rfam family "Bacterial small subunit ribosomal RNA", at positions 28 to 507 of the family's 1533-position model. The record is from RNAcentral.